CCUGACGCAGCGACGCCGCGUGCGGGAAGAAGGCUUUCGGGUCGUAAACCGCUGUCAGGAGGGAAGAAACUGUUUAGUCAUAAUACGGCUAUUCACUGACGGUACCUCCAGAGGAAGCACCGGCUAACUCCGUGCCAGCAGCCGCGGUAAUACGGAGGGUGCGAGCGUUAAUCGGAAUCACUGGGCGUAAAGCGUGCGUAGGCGGCGCAGCAAGUCAGACGUGAAAGCCCUCGGCUCAACCGAGGAAUUGCGUUUGAAACUGCUGUGCUAGAGUCUCGGAGAGGUUAGGGGAAUUCCAGGUGUAGGAGUGGAAUCCGUAGAUAUCUGGAGGAACACCGGUGGCGAAGGCGCCUAACUGGACGAGUACUGACGCUGAGGUACGAAGGCGUGGGGAGCAAACAGGAUUAGAUACCCUGGUAGUCCACGCCGUAAACGAUGGAUAUUAGGUGUCGGGGGUAACCCUUCGGUGCCGCAGUUAACGCGUUAAAUAUCCCGCCUG
Molecule: ribosomal RNA, 499 nt
Filed under: uncultured delta proteobacterium
Lineage: Bacteria; Deltaproteobacteria
Description: bacterial SSU rRNA
Rfam family: Bacterial small subunit ribosomal RNA
Source: RNAcentral